AGAGCAGCAGAUUUCUACAAUGAAGUUAACAUGAUAAGCAGUGUGGAACACAAAAAUCUAGUCAGAUUGUUGGGAUGUAGUUGUUCCGGACCUGAAAGCCUCCUUGUCUAUGAAUUCCUGCCUAACAAGAGCCUUGAUCGUUUCAUCUUCGAUCAAAACAAAGGCAAAACACUAACUUGGGAGAAGAGAUAUAACAUCAUUAUGGGGACAGCAGAAGGUUUAGUCUACCUUCAUGAAAACUCCAAGAUCAGGAUCAUUCACAGAGACAUAAAGGCCAGCAAUAUUUUAUUGGAUAGCAGGUUCCGUGCUAAAAUUGCCGAUUUUGGAUUGGCCAGGUCUU
RNAcentral lists this unclassified non-coding RNA (340 nucleotides) under Hevea brasiliensis (rubber tree). Lineage: Eukaryota; Viridiplantae; Streptophyta; Magnoliopsida; Malpighiales; Euphorbiaceae. The record is from RNAcentral.